Molecule: ribosomal RNA, 253 nt
Filed under: uncultured bacterium
Lineage: Bacteria
Description: partial 16S ribosomal RNA
Rfam family: Bacterial small subunit ribosomal RNA
Source: RNAcentral
UACGGAGGAUGCAAGUGUUAUCCGGAAUCACUGGGCGUAAAGCGCCUGUAGGUGGUUUAAUAAGUCAACUGUUAAAUCUUGAGGCUCAACUUCAAAAUCGCAGUCGAAACUAUUAGACUAGAGUAUAGUAGGGGUAAAGGGAAUUUCCAGUGGAGCGGUGAAAUGCGUAGAGAUUGGAAAGAACACCAAUGGCGAAAGCACUUUACUGGGCUAUCACUGACACUGAGAGACGAAAGCGAGGGUAGCAAAUGGG